GUUUGAUCCUGGCUCAGAUUGAACGCUGGCGGGAUGCUUUACAUGCAAGUCGAACGGCAGCACGGACGGUCUGGUGGCGAGUGGCGAACGGGUGAGUAAUGUAUCCGGAACGUGCCUAGUAGCGGGGGAUAACUACGCGAAAGCAGCUAAUACCGCAUGCGCCCUUCGAGGAAAAGCGGGGGACCUUCGGGCCUCGCACUAAUGAAACGGCCGAUAUCGGAUUAGCUAGUUGGUGGGGUAACGGCUCACCAAGGCGACGAUCCGUAGCUGGUUUGAGAGGACGACCAGCCACACUGGGACUGAGACACGGCCCAGACUCCUACAGGAGGCAGCAGUGGGGAAUUUUGGACAAUGGGGAAACCCUGAUCCAGCCAUCCCGCGUGUGCGAUGAAGGCCUUCGGGUUGUAAAGCACUUUUGGCAGGAAAGAAACGGCACGGGAUAUUACCCCGUGCAACUGACGGUACCUGCAGAUAGCGCCCGGCUAACACGUCAUGCCAGCAGCCGCGGUAAUACGUAGGGUGCAAGCGUUAAUCGGAAUUACUGGGCGUAAAGCGUGCGCAGGCGGUUCGGAAAGAAAGAUGUGAAAUCCCAGAGCUUAACUUUGGAACUGCAUUUUUAACUACCGAGCUAGAGUGUGUCAGGGAGGUGGAAUUCCGCGAUGGCAGUGAAAUGCGUAGAUAUGCGGAGGAACACCGAUGGCGAAGGCAGCCUCCUGGGAUAACACUGACGCUCAUGCACGAAAGCGUAGGGAGCAAACAGGAUUAGAUACCCUGGUAGUCCACGCCCUAAACGAUGUCAACUAGCUGUUGGGGCCUUCGGGCCUUGAUGGCGCGCAGCCGCGCGUCGAAGUUGACCGCCUGGGGAAGUACGGUCGCAAAGAUUAAAACUCGAAAUUGACGGGGACCCGCACAAGCGGUGGAUGAUGUGGUUAAUUCGAUGCAACGCGAAAAACCUUACCUACCCUUGACAUGUCUGGAAUCCCGAAGAGAUUUGGGGAGUGCUCGCAAGAGAGAACCGGAACACAGGUGCUGCAUGGCUGUCGUCAGCUCGUGUCCAUUGAGAUGUUGGGUUAAGUCCCGCAACGAGCCGCAGCCUUGUCAUUAGUUGCUACGAAGGGCACUCUAAUGAGACUGCCGGUGACAAACCGGAGGAAGGUGGGGAUGACGUCAAGUCCUCAUGGCCCUUAUGGGUAGGGCUUCACACGUCAUACAAUGGUCGGGACAGAGGGUCGCGCCAACCCGCGAGGAGCCAAUCGAAGCGAUCGUAGUCCGGAUCGCAGUCUGCAACUCGGCUGCGUGAAGUCGGAAUCGCUAGUAAUCGCGGAUCAGCAUGUCGCGGUGAAUACGUUCCCGGGUCUUGUACACACCGCCCGUCACACCAUGGGAGUGGGUUUUACCAGAAGUAGUUAGCCUAACCGUAAGGAGGGCGAUUACCACGGUAGGAUUCAUGACUGGGGUGAAGUCGUAACAAGGUAG
This 1476-nucleotide ribosomal RNA is filed under the name uncultured Bordetella sp. Its description in RNAcentral is "partial 16S-23S ribosomal RNA intergenic spacer". It matches the Rfam family "Bacterial small subunit ribosomal RNA". Lineage: Bacteria; Pseudomonadati; Pseudomonadota; Betaproteobacteria; Burkholderiales; Alcaligenaceae. The record is from RNAcentral.